This 977-nucleotide ribosomal RNA is filed under the name Cellulomonas sp. RNAcentral's name for it is "bacterial SSU rRNA". It matches the Rfam family "Bacterial small subunit ribosomal RNA", at positions 194 to 1187 of the family's 1533-position model. The record is from RNAcentral. Lineage: Bacteria; Bacillati; Actinomycetota; Actinomycetes; Micrococcales; Cellulomonadaceae.
UGCGUCUGGAAAGAUUUAUCGGUCAGGGAUGGACUCGCGGCCUAUCAGCUUGUUGGUGGGGUAACGGCCCACCAAGGCGACGACGGGUAGCCGGCCUGAGAGGGCGACCGGCCACACUGGGACUGAGACACGGCCCAGACUCCUACGGGAGGCAGCAGUGGGGAAUAUUGCACAAUGGGCGCAAGCCUGAUGCAGCGACGCCGCGUGAGGGAUGAAGGCCUUCGGGUUGUAAACCUCUUUCAGCAGGGAAGAAGCGCAAGUGACGGUACCUGCAGAAGAAGCGCCGGCUAACUACGUGCCAGCAGCCGCGGUAAUACGUAGGGCGCAAGCGUUGUCCGGAAUUAUUGGGCGUAAAGAGCUCGUAGGCGGUUUGUCGCGUCUGCUGUGAAAACUCGAGGCUCAACCUCGGGCUUGCAGUGGGUACGGGCAGACUAGAGUGCGGUAGGGGAGACUGGAAUUCCUGGUGUAGCGGUGGAAUGCGCAGAUAUCAGGAGGAACACCGAUGGCGAAGGCAGGUCUCUGGGCCGCAACUGACGCUGAGGAGCGAAAGCAUGGGGAGCGAACAGGAUUAGAUACCCUGGUAGUCCAUGCCGUAAACGUUGGGCACUAGGUGUGGGGCUCAUUCCACGAGUUCCGUGCCGCAGCAAACGCAUUAAGUGCCCCGCCUGGGGAGUACGGCCGCAAGGCUAAAACUCAAAGAAAUUGACGGGGGCCCGCACAAGCGGCGGAGCAUGCGGAUUAAUUCGAUGCAACGCGAAGAACCUUACCAAGGCUUGACAUACACCGGAAACUUCCAGAGAUGGUUGCCCCGCAAGGUCGGUGUACAGGUGGUGCAUGGUUGUCGUCAGCUCGUGUCGUGAGAUGUUGGGUUAAGUCCCGCAACGAGCGCAACCCUCGUCCUAUGUUGCCAGCGGGUUAUGCCGGGGACUCAUAGGAGACUGCCGGGGUCAACUCGGAGGAAGGUGGGGAUGACGUCA